RNAcentral lists this ribosomal RNA (273 nucleotides) under uncultured bacterium. Its description in RNAcentral is "partial 16S ribosomal RNA". It matches the Rfam family "Bacterial small subunit ribosomal RNA", at positions 524 to 796 of the family's 1533-position model. The record is from RNAcentral.
GACAGAGGGUGCGAGCGUUGUUCGGAAUUACUGGGCGUAAAGGGCGCGUAGGCGGUCUGUUAAGUUCGGUGUGAAAGCCCUCGGCUCAACUGGGGAAGUGCGCCGGAUACUGACAGACUUGAGUACCGGAGAGGAGGGUGGAAUUCCUGGUGUAGCGGUGAAAUGCGUAGAUAUCAGGAGGAACACCGGUGGCGAAGGCGGCCCUCUGGACGAGUACUGACGCUGAGGCGCGAAAGCGUGGGGAUCAAACAGGAUUAGAAACCCCAGUAGUCC